This 426-nucleotide ribosomal RNA is filed under the name uncultured Acinetobacter sp. RNAcentral describes it as "bacterial SSU rRNA". It matches the Rfam family "Bacterial small subunit ribosomal RNA", at positions 432 to 849 of the family's 1533-position model. The record is from RNAcentral. Lineage: Bacteria; Pseudomonadati; Pseudomonadota; Gammaproteobacteria; Moraxellales; Moraxellaceae.
ACUUUAAGCGAGGAGGAGGCUACUUUAGUUAAUACCUAGAGAUAGUGGACCUUACUCGCAGAAUAAGCACCGGCUAACUCUGUGCCAGCAGCCGCGGUAAUACAGAGGGUGCGAGCGUUAAUCGGAUUUACUGGGCGUAAAGCGUGCGUAGGCGGCUUAUUAAGUCGGAUGUGAAAUCCCCGAGCUUAACUUGGGAAUUGCAUUCGAUACUGGUGAGCUAGAGUAUGGGAGAGGAUGGUAGAAUUCCAGGUGUAGCGGUGAAAUGCGUAGAGAUCUGGAGGAAUACCGAUGGCGAAGGCAGCCAUCUGGCCUAAUACUGACGCUGAGGUACGAAAGCAUGGGGAGCAAACAGGAUUAGAUACCCUGGUAGUCCAUGCCGUAAACGAUGUCUACUAGCCGUUGGGGCCUUUGAGGCUUUAGUGGCGC